CUGCUCCAGAUUUUGUCUGCUAUUUUUUGAAACUAAAAUUCGGGCAUCCGGUAGAGGCGCUGACUGUCCGCAUCAGUCAUAACAAUUCAUUGUUAGGACAUGGUUAGGACCUGGUGCAUCAUUUGGAAAAGACCAUUUCUUUCUUCUCUUUUAAAUAACGAUCGGCUAUAGCGGUGACGUUCGCCGUGUCUUCGUCUUCUUACACAAGAAUCAAAGCCGAUUUUCCCUUUCUUGAUAAAUUCGCUGCGUUUUUCUUUUUCUGCUUCUUCUUCUUCUUGGCUGGCCGGCAAUAUAGUGACUGGGAAUGUGUGACAGCCCAAAGAGUUGCUGGAAAUAUCCCUUACUAUAUAUAGACGGCACGCGGUUCUUGAUAAGAAUACCCCGAAUCUAAUAAACCUCUUUAUAUAAACACACAGAUGCGCGUUCUGCUCAAAAAUGGCUCGAUGGACCAGCGCCCCGUCGCAUAACUGGUUGUUAUGCGACAAUAUAACUAUACAACCUAUUGCAGCAAUGGAAACGCGCAGACGGACGUACUGAUCUCUCCGUGCGCGUUUGCGUAACACGCUAACCCACCCAGCUCAUUUAUAGACUUUGUCAUAUUUUCAAAACAAUUAUUAGCCUAUUUUAUACGCAGAGGGCGGAAUGCGCGAAAGACAAACAAUCAGACAAGAAUCAGGAAAUCUAAUGGCGAAUUGUGAUUGUUCAAGGGCUUUCGCUCAGGCGCAUUUACAUCGACGAUAACGAGGCCGUCCUCUUUGGCCUGUCCUCGCUAUACGACAAAGAGCAUCGCGCAUUCCCGAUGCGAAACAAGAAGAAGAAGAAGAAAACAGGUUUUCUUUUUCUUUUUCUUGCCGAUAUUAUUCGUCCUCUGAAAUCAAUUCAAUGGAAAAAGCCAAGGCGGAAUUGUUUUCUGUUGUCUUCCUCUAAAUAGCAGAGCUUUGCGAGGAUUCAAGCGCUUGUAUCGGCCGCUAACUUAUACUUUUUCUUAACAGACGGUGGCGGGACAAGCCUCGGUUUUCUUUCCAACGAUAUUGAGUAGCCCUUUCAACAUUCUGUCACAAUCAAAAAUUGAAAAAAAAGCAACAAAAACACCGCAAAAUGUCAAAAUUGGUUGUGUAAAAUGUUUAUUAAUGUGCAAUAUCAGUGUAUCGAUUUACACAGUGUAAGAUAUCCAGAUGUAAUACAAAAAUUAAGUUGAAA
Molecule: long non-coding RNA, 1200 nt
Organism: Daphnia magna
Lineage: Eukaryota; Metazoa; Arthropoda; Branchiopoda; Diplostraca; Daphniidae
Exons: 2
Source: RefSeq, a predicted model, not a curated record